GACGAACGCUGGCGGCGUGCUUAACACAUGCAAGUCGAACGGAAAGGCCCUGCUUUUGUGGGGUGCUCGAGUGGCGAACGGGUGAGUAACACGUGAGUAACCUGCCCUUGACUUUGGGAUAACUUCAGGAAACUGGGGCUAAUACCGGAUAGGAGCUCCUGCUGCAUGGUGGGGGUUGGAAAGUUUCGGCGGUUGGGGAUGGGCUCGCGGCUUAUCAGCUUGUUGGUGGGGUAGUGGCUUACCAAGGCUUUGACGGGUAGCCGGCCUGAGAGGGUGACCGGCCACAUUGGGACUGAGAUACGGCCCAGACUCCUACGGGAGGCAGCAGUGGGGAAUAUUGCACAAUGGGCGGAAGCCUGAUGCAGCAACUCCGCGUGCGGGAUGACGGCCUUCGGGUUGUAAACCGCUUUCGCCUGUGACGAAGCGUGAGUGACGGUAAUGGGUAAAGAAGCACCGGCUAACUACGUG
This 468-nucleotide ribosomal RNA is filed under the name uncultured bacterium. RNAcentral's name for it is "partial 16S ribosomal RNA". It matches the Rfam family "Bacterial small subunit ribosomal RNA", at positions 28 to 507 of the family's 1533-position model. The record is from RNAcentral.